Carassius carassius (crucian carp) is the source of this 434-nucleotide long non-coding RNA. RefSeq lists it as uncharacterized. The transcript has 2 exons. NCBI's taxonomy places the organism in Eukaryota, Metazoa, Chordata, Actinopteri, Cypriniformes, Cyprinidae. The record is from RefSeq and is a predicted model, not a curated record.
AAUGUCAUAUUUCUGUUGCAUUUCACUGCAUUGGGUUAGCUUUGGAGACCUAAUGUUCUAUCUACUUAUCUCGUACAGACUUCCCUUGGCAGCCCUACAUUUCAAUAGUAAUGGCAACAGAGAUGUAGCGCGAACUAGUGAGGGUGAGGUACGCUACGCUGUUCACUACCCACGGUUUCGGAAAGGUGGCUGGGUAGUCCACCCCAUCAAGGAGAAACCAUCUUACGGAUACGCAACAAAUCUUAUGGUCUCUCUGGUAGAGGAAUACUGCAAGUCACCACAGGCCCUACAAGAAAGCAGUGCCGUCUUGUCCUCUGCUGCACCGCCCCCCCUCACCUCUUCCGUCCAGAAGGUUGCCAAGGAUGAGGCAGUCAGCCUCCAUCUCGCACGACACUCACGUUUUAACAUGUAAUAAAAGAUCAAUUUUACCAGUA